UCCUACGGGGGGCAGCAGUGGGGAAUAUUACACAAUGGGCGAAAGCCUGAUGCAGCAACGCCGCGUGAGUGAUGAAGGCCUUCGGGUUGUAAAGCUCUGUCUUUGGGGACGAUAACGACGGUACCCAAGGAGGAAGCCACGGCUAACUACGUGCCAGCAGCCGCGGUAAUACGUAGGUGGCAAGCGUUGUCCGGAUUUACUGGGCGUAAAGGAUGCGUAGGCGGAUAUUUAAGUCAGAUGUGAAAACCCCGAGCUUAACUUGGGGACUGCAUUUGAAACUGGAUAUCUAGAGUGUGGGAGAGGAGAAUGGAAUUCCUAGUGUAGCGGUGAAAUGCGUAGAGAUUAGGAAGAACACCAGUGGCGAAGGCGAUUCUCUGGACCAUAACUGACGCUGAGGCAUGAAAGCGUGGGUAGCAAACAGGAUUAGAUACCCGAGUAA
Molecule: ribosomal RNA, 439 nt
Filed under: uncultured bacterium
Lineage: Bacteria
Description: bacterial SSU rRNA
Rfam family: Bacterial small subunit ribosomal RNA
Source: RNAcentral